GACGAACGCUGGCGGCGUGCUUAACACAUGCAAGUCGAACGAUGAAAGAGAAUCCGAUCUCUUCGGAGUGAAGAAUCUCUGGAUUAGUGGCGGACGGGUGAGUAACGCGUGAGCAAUCUGCCUUACACAAAGGGAUAACCUCGGGAAACCGGGAUUAAUACCAUAUGAUAUCUAUUAACCGCAUGGUUUAUAGAUUAAAGAAUUUCGGUGUAAGAUGAGCUCGCGUCCCAUUAAUUAGUUGGUGAGGGUAACGGCCCACCAAGAUAGCGAUGGGUAGCCGAUCUAAGAGGAUGACCGGCCACAUUGGAACUGAGAAACGGUCCAAACUCCUACGGGAGGCAGCAGUGGGGAAUAUUGCACAAUGGGGGAAACCCUGAUGCAGCGACGCCGCGUGAGCGAUGAAGGCUUUCGAGUCGUAAAGCUCUGUCCUAUGGGAAGAUAAUGA
RNAcentral lists this ribosomal RNA (445 nucleotides) under Clostridiales bacterium oral taxon C86. RNAcentral describes it as "bacterial SSU rRNA". It matches the Rfam family "Bacterial small subunit ribosomal RNA", at positions 28 to 454 of the family's 1533-position model. Lineage: Bacteria; Bacillati; Bacillota; Clostridia; Eubacteriales. The record is from RNAcentral.